RNA transcript from Piliocolobus tephrosceles (Ugandan red Colobus), 905 nucleotides. It is a transcript of the gene named brain acid soluble protein 1-like, with no coding region annotated. The transcript has a single exon. NCBI's taxonomy places the organism in Eukaryota, Metazoa, Chordata, Mammalia, Primates, Cercopithecidae. The record is from RefSeq and is a predicted model, not a curated record.
CAGUAGCGGCAGCGGCGACGGCGGCGGCAGCGCUCCAACUGGCUCCUCGUUCCGGGCUCUGCCGUCGAGCCGGGAGAGAGCCUCCGCCAGCGGCCAGGCACUAGCCAGACGACGCCAGCGACCCCGGCCUCUAGGCGGCACCGCGCUCACUCAGGGGCUGCACAGGCACCCAGAGCCGAACUCCAAGAUGCGAGGCAAGCUCAGCAAGAAGAAGAAGGGCUACAAUGUGAACGACGAGAAAGCCAAGGACAAAGACAAGAAGGCUGAGGGCGCGGCGACGGAAGAGGAGGGGACCCCGAAGGAGAGCGAGCCCCAAGCGGCCGCGGAGCCCGCCGAGGCCAAGGAGGGCAAGGAGAAGCCCGACCAGGACGCCGAGGGCAAGGCCGAGGAGAAGGAGGCCGAGAAGGACGCGGCGGCAGCCAAGGAGGAGGCCCCGAAGGCGGAGCCCGAGAAGACGGAGGGCGCGGCGGAGGCCAAGGCUGAGCCCCCGAAGGCGCCCGAGCAGGAGCAGGCGGCCCCCGGCCCCGCUGCGGGCGGCGAGGCCCCCAAAGCUGCCGAGGUCGCCGCGGCCCCGGCCGAGAGCGCGGCCCCUGCUGCCGGGGAGGAGCCCAGCAAGGAGGAAGGGGAACCCAAAAAGACUGAGGCGCCCGCAGCUCCUGCCGCCCGGGAGACCAAAAGUGACGGGGCCCCCGCUUCAGACUCAAAAACCCGGCAGCUCGGAGGCUGCCCCCUCUUCCAAGGAGACCCCCGCAGCCACGGAAGCGCCUAGUUCCACACCCAAGGCCCAGGCCCCCGCAGCCUCCGCAGAAGAGCCCAAGCCGGUGGAGGCCCCGGCAGCUAAUUCUGAUCAAACCGUAGCCGUGAAAGAGUGACAAGGACAGCCUAUAGGAAAAAUAAUACUGUUU